Long non-coding RNA from Girardinichthys multiradiatus, 2662 nucleotides. RefSeq lists it as uncharacterized. The transcript has 2 exons. The record is from RefSeq and is a predicted model, not a curated record. Lineage: Eukaryota; Metazoa; Chordata; Actinopteri; Cyprinodontiformes; Goodeidae.
CCCUAAUCAUAACAGCGGAUGGUGGGCUUAGUUGAAUCCAGAAUAGAACGCUAGGCAGUGGGUUGGAUUCACAUAAUUCAUGGAUUUGUUUUCUUUUUUGUAUUUCUCUAUUGUUUUGGUGGAAGCUGUGUGGGAGUGUGUUGGUGCUACACCAGCCACUGUAGCAAUGGGAGAGGAGGAGACAACUGUAAGCCUGAGCGAUAUCUUUUCCCUCUCCCUCCACUUACUUACUCUGGCCCCCCUCCCUCUCGUCCUCAUGCUUCUUUUCAUUCCUCGCCACAGCCAUCAGGACCCAUCUUUCCUCUCUUACCAUCUUUCUAUUUGGUUAUGCAUUGCACAGUCCUCACACGGUGACUAACUGGUGUUGGACAUCUACCAUAACACUGCUGUCACUGGUGGUUGCUACAGAUUUAUUGUGGUACAGAGACGAGCUCUCAGGCUGCAUUUGCUUCUUUUUAGACGGCUGGAUCUUGGGAUUUUACCCCUUCUACAGUUUCUACUGGGAUAUUACUUGCUAGACUCUUAAUUCGUGGACCUGCCUGUUCUCACUCAGCUCACCGGAGACUGGGUGUCACCGACACACGAUCAGCUCACCCGACAGACAUGAUCAUGAUCGCUGGCAUGGGAGCUUUGAUAAUGGGCUAUUUUAUAAUGCAUCUAUUCAAAUGACACUCAAAGAGGUCAAAGGCAACAGCAUCGUGCUGAGGUAGUGUACAUUUAUGGAUACACUGUGGAAGAAGGUUGUAGGGUUUUGUGGCAGAGUUUAGGCAAAGCAGGUAACAGAGAGCUCAAAAGACGGAGCAGACAAAAAAAGAUGAGAGGAAUGCCAGAGGGGUUGGGAUGGAAUAGAUGAGACUCGUGCUGCCAGAGUCUUAGCAGACGUGAUAUAAAUCUACUGACUGGCAACAGAAUAGAGAGACUUGGGAGGGUGAAGUAAAAUAAAGGGAAGUAAUAGGAUGGACUGAUUUUACAGGUGGUAAAAUGAGGAAUAUGGGGAAAAGGGAGUGAUUUUCUAUGAGCGCUCUCUCCCAUCACCGAGACUGUCCAGAUAUCCAGUCUCUCCCUAUUUUUCCCUGGGUCGUCACAUGGAUUAGCUGUACACCCACAUUUCUUCCACGAGGACCUAAAGAGCAUGCUGGAUAAUGUAUACCUGAAACGCCUUAAGGUGUGUCCUUGCCAGUUUGGGUGAGCAUCAGGACCAUGGGCACCACUGUCAUCACCCUUAAUGAUGUGCAGGCACUGGAGAUUAAGGAGGAACAGGAGGAGUCCAUCUUGGCCAUGCUGGGCAUCGUUGGCACUUUCCUCAACCUCUUCGUGAUAGUUUUUGUUUACAUUUACACCACGCUGUGAGGAAGGAACCUUACGACUGGAUAAUACUGAUCAAUAGUCAGUCAUUAGGGAACUGGUUAACAGGAGUCUGACAUGAACAUCUAUCCCAGAUAUAGAUGGAGAAAACUACAGAAAGUGACCGACGAUGAGAAAGACAAAGCCCUAUUGCCCAAUCACGUGUCUGUGCUGGAGAGAUAACAAAGGGAUGACAGAUCUGGAAAGAACAGGACUUGCCUGGAAUGAGAAUGAGACAAGUUAAAAGAAAAAUAGAAGUCCCCCAGCCAGGACUGACUGUCCAGGGACCUUAAAGAUAAAAUGAACCUUUACUGGCUUUUAUUGUCUGGGACUGCUGAACCAAAUGCAAAGAAGUUUUAAAAACAAAUCUUAAGCCAUUCCAUUUAAUUCAUAUUAAUUCUAGUGAAGCCCAUAAAACUAAAUUGUCAGGGCUGCUCUAAAACAGCAGCGCUCCUCAGCAUGGUGGUUGUGCUGUGCUGUUACCUCCCUAAAAAAAACUGCCAAUUCCCAAAUAACCUUACAUAGCCAUAUAACAUAUGCCGUCCCAGGAGAACUCAUGCUAUACCUCAACAUCCUGUUAAAGAUGGAUUUGUUAAAAAAAAUAAAAAAUUCACAUAUGGAGAUAUUUUUGUAAAAAGACAUCUUUACACAUGCAAAGAAUUUACCAUAACUUGUAAUAAAAAUGCAGCCUAUGUAUUGUGUGAUACAGCCAAACCUAUGCUAUAUUUUUGUUCAUGUUUGCUCAAAAUUCACAAAAGAUGAACGAUGUGUCUAGAGGAUGUUGGGGAAGAAAGAUGUUUUUACUUUUUAAAAGUUUGUUUCAAAAAUUUUACCAAUGCUGUUUUUAUGAAUAUCUGAAUGAUGUCUACAUGUAUAGCUUAAUGGGGCCAUUUACAAAAUAAACCAUGAAGCAUUUGACAAAUGACAGCCCUAAGCGUUAAGGGUAACAAAUCCUGUGUGUAAAAGAAGACUCACUGGUGGCUGGUAGUCAAGCGUAAGGCACACGAGAAUUCACUUCUCUGCUUUAGCUUUAAAGAUUUGGGCUGGAGUUGCCAGACAUUUAACACAUUUUCAAAAAGGAAAAAUGAAGAAGUGGUAAUGACAUUCUUUCAAUACAAGGAACAUCCUACUUUAACAGCAAGGAAAAGCUUAAAGUAAUGGAAACUACCAUUCAGAGUGUGAAUGGUUAUAAACAAGAGCAAAUCCACAUGGACAGAAUGUACCUGAAUAGCUUUCAUGUAAUCAUGACUCUAACAACACACCUGAUGAUGUGGGAUAUCACAAGAUGAUUGUAUAAAAGCUGGGUUUCUGUCUCUGA